CAAAAAGGGCAUAGAGGGCGCUGGCAUCUCUGCAAAAGCGCCAGGUCUUAUUUAUCCACCAUCGAUGCUCGCUGUCAUGGGACCUCACACAGAUUUAAAUCAUAACAACCAAAGUCUUCAAAACCUGAAUUUUAGGUUCAAUUUCGUUUCAUUUCCCGUUUUUAAACAAGAGAGGGCGGGCACCUCACACCUCCUACACAAAUCCACAGGAGAGACCCAUUUUCAAAAAGGCUUCAGAGGUAAUCUCUGUUUUGGAACUUAGAUUUUUUGUUGUUGUGGGAUUUGUUGUUUAUGUUCUUAAUGUGGGUAUUCUGAAUUAUGAUCAAAGUGCGGACAUUUAUCUAAAACACAACGUGUGAUGUGGUGGAUAUUGCAUAAUUGAUUGGAGGCCAUGCGUGUUUCAUUUUGAAAGUUAAAUGAUUUAUGCAAAUGCAUCAUCUGGGAUCUCAUCUGAAUUUAUUAAAAUUUGGAAUUUUUCAUGGAUAUAGUAAAUCUAGAAUUGAAAUAUCCACGAAUUGAUUGAAUUCUGGUAUUAUUACUGGCAAUGCAAUCUUGGCAAAUGAAGGUCUACAAGUGAAUCAUUAAUGGAAAAUGAUAUUUACCAAUUGAUUAUUACGGUUUCGUUUUUAUUGCCAAUUGCUUAACCUGUUGAUCUGUUUAUAUGUCCUUUCUCUGUAGGGAGCUGAAUGCUUAAUUGAAUUGAUUGCCAUGGAAUUUAUUGUGCAUCAGUUGGCGCACCUACUUUUCUUGAUGGAUCUUGCACUUUUAACUCUGAAUAUCAUUCUUAUUUGAUGCCAAAUUUCGUUCUGAGUUUCAAAUAAUAAAUGAAAACAAUGCCAUCACGGGUUUUUUUUUUGGUCAAUCUAGACGAAGUUCAUGUAGCUUUGAUAAAAAAAUUUUUGGCAUCACAUCAAUUGCAAAUUUUUAUGCCCAUGGUAAUAAAAUAUCAAAUCUCCUCACAUUAGCUGAAAGUCAUUCUAUUUUCCAGAUCAAAUUAAGUGAUGGCAGAAGCUGAGGAUAUUCAGCCUCUUGUAUGUGAUAAUGGAACAGGGAUGGUCAAGGUAUCCACCUAAUAUCCAAUAACUUGUACACUAUAUCAUUCCAAUACUUCCAAUGAUGAUUUUUCAACUGCUAGGCCUUUGUGAAUUAAGAGUUUACUUUUGAAGCUUGUGAUUUAUGGUGAGAUCUCGUAAUUUUCAGGCUGGAUUUGCUGGAGAUGAUGCUCCAAGGGCAGUCUUCCCCAGUAUUGUGGGCCGCCCACGUCACACUGGUGUCAUGGUUGGCAUGGGCCAAAAAGAUGCCUACGUCGGUGAUGAGG
Molecule: long non-coding RNA, 1318 nt
Filed under: Olea europaea subsp. europaea
Lineage: Eukaryota; Viridiplantae; Streptophyta; Magnoliopsida; Lamiales; Oleaceae
Source: RNAcentral